AGUGAACGCUGGCGGUAGGCCUAACACAUGCAAGUCGAACGGCAGCACAGUAAGAGCUUGCUCUUACGGGUGGCGAGUGGCGGACGGGUGAGGAAUACAUCGGAAUCUACUUUUUCGUGGGGGAUACGUAGGGAAACUUACGCUAAUACCGCAUACGACCUACGGGUGAAAGCAGGGGAUCUUCGGACCUUGCGCGAUUGAAUGAGCCGAUGUCGGAUUAGCUAGUUGGCGGGGUAAGGGCCCACCAAGGCGACGAUCCGUAGCUGGUCUGAGAGGAUGAUCAGCCACACUGGAACUGAGACACGGUCCAGACUCCUACGGGAGGCAGCAGUGGGGAAUAUUGGACAAUGGGCGCAAGCCUGAUCCAGCCAUACCGCGUGGGUGAAGAAGGCCUUCGGGUUGUAAAGCCCUUUUGUUGGGAAAGAAAAGCAGCAGGUUAAUACCCCGCUGUUCUGACGGUACCCAAAGAAUAAGCACCGGCUAACUUCGCG
This 491-nucleotide ribosomal RNA is filed under the name uncultured bacterium. RNAcentral describes it as "partial 16S ribosomal RNA". It matches the Rfam family "Bacterial small subunit ribosomal RNA", at positions 29 to 507 of the family's 1533-position model. The record is from RNAcentral.